GACGAACGCUGGCGGCGUGCUUAACACAUGCAAGUCGAACGAUGAAGAAGAGACACGCGAACUUCGGUUCAACUUUCACUUCGGAUUAGUGGCAGACGGGUGAGUAACGCGUGAGCAACCUACCUCUUACAAAGGGAUAGCCUCGGGAAACCGUGAUUAAUACCAUAUGACACAUUCAUAAGGCAUCUUAAGAAUGUUAAAGCUACGGCGGUAAGAGAUGGGCUCGCGUCCCAUUAGCUAGUUGGUGAGGUAACGGCCCACCAAGGCGACGAUGGGUAACCGGCCUGAGAGGGUGAACGGUCACAGUUGAACUGAGACACGGUCCAAACUCCUACGGGAGGCAGCAGUGGGGAAUAUUGCACAAUGGAGGGAACUCUGAUGCAGCGACGCCGCGUGAGCGAUGAAGGAAUUCGUUUCGUAAAGCUCUGUUCUAUGGGAAGAAAAGGACUGUACCAUAGGAGAAAGCCCCGGCUAAAUACGUG
This 482-nucleotide ribosomal RNA is filed under the name uncultured bacterium. RNAcentral's name for it is "partial 16S ribosomal RNA". It matches the Rfam family "Bacterial small subunit ribosomal RNA", at positions 28 to 507 of the family's 1533-position model. The record is from RNAcentral.